AUACUAACCCAGCAGGGGCAAUACCAUGAUUGCGAAGGUGGUUUUCCCUGGGCGAGGCUGGUCCAUUGCACUCUGGGUGUGCUGACCCCUGCGGUGUCCCCACGUGUGGGAAGCUCAUCCACAUAAUUUGUGGUGGGGGGACUGCACUUGCGUUCUCCCCCG
Phyllostomus discolor (pale spear-nosed bat) is the source of this 162-nucleotide small nuclear RNA. RefSeq annotates it as U1 spliceosomal RNA. Lineage: Eukaryota; Metazoa; Chordata; Mammalia; Chiroptera; Phyllostomidae. The record is from RefSeq and is a predicted model, not a curated record. The transcript has a single exon.